CCACACCAAACCUCACCCCACUUCACAUGGCCACAGACCACCGCCACCGCCUCAAAUGGCAACGACCACUGCCGCAGAUCGCCGCCGUCAUCGCCACCUUUGCAGAUCGCCAUUGCCAUUGCUGCAUAGCACAGCUUGCAAAGCCAGGGACUCCAGUCACUGGUCACAUUAUUUCCACGACCAUUGGUAGCAAAAAUGGAGAACCCAAACAGUUGUCUUUGGACUGGAUGGUUGGAUGGAUGUAAUUGAAAAUGCAAAAGGAUAUGGCGGGAGUCGAUUGAUUUCAUUUGAUUUUUUAAAGAUAGAUGUCAGUUCAGAGGUCUUCAUGUGAAAGAGACAUAAGGUUCUAUCAUCAGUUCCUUCUCAAUUCCUAACCCCAUGAAUAUAUAAAGAAUUUUUUUAAGACCUCACUUCCUUCUCAAUUCCUAAAGAGGUAACUACUUCAACUUAUAUAGAAAAUCUCUAUGUUCUCUUUCGCUUCAACAAAUUAGUUGUAAUGCUAGAGGAUCUGAUACUUUUCUUUUUCUUUUUCUUUUUCUUUUUCUUGAAUGCACAAUAAGAUUCUGUUGGGGUCCACCAUUGAAGUGUAAUUGCAUAAGAGAAUCAAAUUUUGCUCAUUCAUGAUGUGUCUUUCAUUAGCUGUCCGUAAGACUAUGUUUGCUUAAGAGAAUCAAAUUCUGUUGUUCCUCUUAGCAAAUUAUGGAAAUUCAAUUUAUCUAGUUUUUUAUGUUGUUGUCAACUUUUAAACUGCUAUUUUUAUUUAUUUUUUAGUUUGGCAGUUCUUUGGGUCGGGAAAAAGAGCUACUUGCAAAGAGCACAGGUUGGACAUCCAAGAAGAGCCAUUGGGAUAGCAUAGCACAUUUUUUUCUUCCCAUGUGAUGUAAGUAACUCCAUGUGAAGAACUUAAGCACAUGGCAUGGUUUAUUUUUCCAGUAAGUGGCCACAAGAUUGGGACUUUCACAUUGAUUUGAUCUCGUAUGUUUCAACACUUAUUUCCCUUCUGGAAACUUUCAUUCGAGGAUUUUUUUUAUUUUUAUUUUUUUGCGCAGCAGGAACUACAUAAAGCACUAUUUGUUCCUUGCGCGCACAUGAAAAAAAAAA
Camellia sinensis is the source of this 1101-nucleotide long non-coding RNA. RefSeq lists it as uncharacterized. The record is from RefSeq and is a predicted model, not a curated record. NCBI's taxonomy places the organism in Eukaryota, Viridiplantae, Streptophyta, Magnoliopsida, Ericales, Theaceae.